AUGCUAAAGACCGAAGCUCAACUUCGGGGGUGCGUUGGAUACUGUGAGGCUAGACGGUCGGAGAGGGUAGCGGAAUUUCCGGAGUAGCGGUGAAAUGCGCAGAUACCGGAAGGAACGCCGAUAGCGAAAGCAGCUACCUGGACGAUUUGUGACGCUGAGGCGCGAAAGCGUGGGGAGCAAACCGGAUUAGAUACCCGGGUAGUCCACGCCCUAAACGAUGAGUGCUGGGUGUCCGAAUCUGUUGGGUGCCGUAGCUAACGCGUUAAGCACUCCACCUGGGAAGUACGGUCGCAAGACUGAAACUCAAAGGAAUUGACGGGGGCCCGCACAAGCGGUGGAGCAUGUGGUUUAAUUCGAAGCAACGCGCAGAACCUUACCAGGUCUUGACAUCCACGGAACCCUGGUGAAAGCCGGGGGUGCCGCGAGGAGCCGUGAGACAGGUGCUGCAUGGUCGUCGUCAGCUCGUGUCGUGAGAUGUUGGGUUAAGUCCCGCAACGAGCGCAACCCUUGUUGCUAGUUGCCAUCAGUUCGGCUGGGCACUCUAGCGAGACUGCCUACGAAAGUAGGAGGAAGGCGGGGAUGACGUCUGAUCCGCAUGGCCCUUACGACCUGGGCGACACACGUGCUACAAUGCCUGCCACAAAGCGCUGCGACCCGGCAACGGGAAGCCAAUCGCACAAAAGCAGGCUCAGUUCGGAUUGGGGUCUGCAACUCGACCCCAUGAAGCUGGAAUCGCUAGUAAUCG
RNAcentral lists this ribosomal RNA (745 nucleotides) under uncultured Deinococcota bacterium. RNAcentral describes it as "bacterial SSU rRNA". It matches the Rfam family "Bacterial small subunit ribosomal RNA", at positions 592 to 1344 of the family's 1533-position model. Lineage: Bacteria; Thermotogati; Deinococcota. The record is from RNAcentral.